This 437-nucleotide ribosomal RNA is filed under the name uncultured bacterium. Its description in RNAcentral is "partial 16S ribosomal RNA". It matches the Rfam family "Bacterial small subunit ribosomal RNA", at positions 28 to 507 of the family's 1533-position model. The record is from RNAcentral.
GAUGAACGCUGGCGGAAGGAGGAACAAAGGCAAGUCGGACGGGAAGUGGUGUUUCCCGUGGCGGACGGGUGAGUAACGUGUAAGAACCUGCCCUUGGGAGGGGAACAACAACUGGAAACGGUUGCUAAUACCCCGUAGGCUGAGGAGCAAAAGGAGGAAUCCGCCCGAGGAGGGGCUUGCGUCUGAUUAGCUAGUUGGUGAGGUAAUAGCUUACCAAGGCGAUGAUCAGUAGCUGGUCCGAGAGGAUGAUCAGCCACACUGGGACUGAGACACGGCCCAGACUCCUACGGGAGGCAGCAGUGGGGAAUUUUCCGCAAUGGGCGAAAGCCUGACGGAGCAAUGCCGCGUGGAGGUCGAACGCCCACGGGUCGUGAACUUCUUUUCUCGGAGAAGAAACAAUGACGGUAUCUGAGGAAUAAGCAUCGGCUCCCUCUGUC